Molecule: ribosomal RNA, 119 nt
Filed under: Pteropus alecto (black flying fox)
Lineage: Eukaryota; Metazoa; Chordata; Mammalia; Chiroptera; Pteropodidae
Source: RNAcentral
GUCCACGGCCAUGCCACCCUGAACGCGCCCAGUCUCUUCUGAUCUCGAAAGCUAAGCAGGGUCGAGCCUGGUUAGAACUUGGAUGGGAGACCACCUAGGAAGUCCAGGUGCUGCAGGCA